RNAcentral lists this ribosomal RNA (254 nucleotides) under uncultured bacterium. RNAcentral describes it as "partial 16S ribosomal RNA". It matches the Rfam family "Bacterial small subunit ribosomal RNA", at positions 524 to 776 of the family's 1533-position model. The record is from RNAcentral.
GACGAACCGUGCGAACGUUAUUCGGAAUCACUGGGCCUAAAGCGCGUGUAGGCGGAUGAGCACGUCUGUCGCUGAAAUCCCCCGGCUCAACCGGGGAACGGGCGCGGAUACGGCUCGUCUCGAGGGGCGUAGGGGGACCUGGAACUUCCGGUGGAGCGGUGAAAUGCGUUGAGAUCGGAAGGAACGCCCGUGGCGAAAGCGAGGUCCUGGACGCCUACUGACGCUGAGACGCGAAAGCCAGGGGAGCGAACGGG